This 593-nucleotide ribosomal RNA is filed under the name uncultured fungus. RNAcentral's name for it is "bacterial SSU rRNA". It matches the Rfam family "Eukaryotic small subunit ribosomal RNA", at positions 231 to 830 of the family's 1831-position model. The record is from RNAcentral. Lineage: Eukaryota; Fungi.
GCAUGCUCUGGGUCUUGGUGAUUCAUGGUACUAAACGAAUCGCAUGGCUUGCGCGGGAUGGCUCAUUCAAAUAUCUGCCCUAUCAACUUUCGAUGGUAGGCUAGUGGCCUACCAUGGUUGCAACGGGUAACGGGAAAUUAGGGUUUGAUUUCGGAGAGGGGGCCCGAGAAACGGCACCACAUCCAAGGAAGGCAGCAGGCGCGCAAAUUACCCAAUGCCGACGCGGGAGGUAGUGACAAUAAAUACCGAUACAGGGCUCUUUCGGGCCUUGUAAUUGGGAAUGAGUACAAUUUAAAUCCCUUAACGAGGAACAAUUGGAGGGCAAGUCUGGUGCCAGCAGCCGCGGUAAUUCCAGCUCCAAUAGCGUAUAUUAAAGUUGUUGCAGUUAAAAAGCUCGUAGUUGGCCCUUGGGCCCUUGGCCGGCCGGUCCGGCCUCACCGGUGCACUGGUCCGGCCGGGCCUUUCUUCCUGGGGAACCCCAUGCCCUUCAGUGGGCGUGGCCGGGAAACCAGGACUUUUACUUUGAAAAAAUUAGAGUGUUCAAAGCAGGCCUUUGCUCGAAUAUCUUAGCAUGGAAUAAUGGAAUAGGACGG